This 1677-nucleotide long non-coding RNA is filed under the name Helianthus annuus (common sunflower). RNAcentral describes it as "hypothetical non coding rna". The record is from RNAcentral. Lineage: Eukaryota; Viridiplantae; Streptophyta; Magnoliopsida; Asterales; Asteraceae.
AAAACUAGGGUUUUCAUCUCCCCAAACCCUAAUCCGGUCCGUCAACCACCACCUCUACAGAACAAAUCGAUUUCGAGGGAUGGCGAAAUCGAAGAACCAUACGGCGCACAACCAGUCGUACAAGGCUCACCGGAAUGGCAUCAAGAAACCACGCAAACACCGUCACACUUCCACCAAAGGGUUUAUCCAGUUUUAGAAUGCUUUUUAGUUUGAUUUAUCUGAAAUCAGUAACCUUCAAUUAUAGAAUAAUUUACGUGUUUUUAGCUGUUUUUUGUGAUUUAAUGAAGUGCAAUUUUAAUUAGAAUUGUAAAAUUAAAUGUGUGAUUAGUUUUAUCAACAAUUUCAGUCUUAUAAAUAUACAUAUUUUUAUAUGUAAAUAUUUUAAGUAGACAGGUUUUAACCGCUCCUCAACCCAUUUUUAUAAGUAUAGCAGAUUAAUUGCUGGGAUCUAAAUGGUUUGGUUGGAAUCUUGGCUGGAAUUGUCGAUUUUUGGCCGGUUAGGCUCGACUACUGAUUAAUGAAAAUUUACUCAGUGUCCAGCCGACUAGUGAUUAAUUGCCGACUAGUCCACAUUUAUACAAUGCAGAUCUGAUUAAUUGUUUUUUAAUAAUCAGAAGGUUAGAAUGCUAAAUCUGUAUUGGAAUUAAGCUGUAUGCUUGAUAAAAAGAUCUUGAGCAUAUGGUUGUGACUAUAUUUUUUGUUUUUUUGUCAUAAAAUGUUGAGUAAGUCAUGUUUGGUCACUUCUUUGCUUGCUAUGUAUUAUGGAUUUGACAAAUCAAACUUGUUUGUUUGAACUAUAUAUUUUCGGAAACUACAAAUCAAACAUGUUUGUUUGAUGGUUUGAGUUUUUUUUUUCAAAAUUGUUUGUUUGUAUGUAUCGGUAAGAUGCAAAGUGGGUGAAAAGAUGGUUCAUUUUAAUCAUACAUAAAAUCAACAAAAAAGUAAUAAUAGAGCUUAACUGGCUGGUUUCUUCAUUUCAAGUUUCAAAUUUUGGUCUAACCAUUAAACUUGAUGUGCCAAUCAUGUUGGGUUGGUUGGAUAAAUUGUUUAACUAACCAUAUAUCUUUUUGUGUCUAAAUCUGAAUGUGUUAAGCAUGGUUGGUGGGUUAGUGAGUCAUAGUCAAGUGAUAAACAUGUCAAUGGAGUUGGAUGGGUUAAAUGGGUUAGCGGGCCAAACAUGAUUGUUUUGGUUACAUAGGUCAAUCCAAACAUAGCCUGAUUAUUGCGAUAACCCAAAACCUGAUCAUUUUUGCGGUGUGUCAAAACUCAAAAACCAAACUGUUUCUCAACUUGUCAAACCCUUGGAUAUGCUUUGGUUUUGAUGAUUUCAUCGGUUUUAACAGUUUAUAUGAACACCUUUAGGCCAAGCAAGUCAUUUGGUUUAAAAUAUGAAAUGAUUUGUGUUUGAUUUUGGUUGUUUUUAUGUGCAGAUGGACCCUAAGUUCUUGAGGAACCAGAGGUAUGCAAGGAAGCACAACAAGCAGAGUGGUGAAUCUACUCAAGAAGACUAGAUGUUUGAUAGAAACACAAAAGUUGUCAACUCUAGGUUUUGGUUUUGUUUCAAAUGAUGUCAUGCUACUGCUUUAUUUCUGAUUUUUGUGUUUUUGGAUUAAUUAUUUUUCCGCAAUUUAGUUAAGUAUGCUGCCGUACUAAAAUCUAAAUAAAUUUUCCAGUUCU